AUGGCCAAAACUAUGGACAUGAUUUCAUGGAGCCUUGUAUUUAGAGGAGGAGGAGGAGGAGCGCAGCAUCAGGAAUCCAAUCGGUGGGACGUGCCCACGUUCUCCACCUCGUGGGAUCGUCCAGCUGCCUUCUUCUUUUUCCUUAGACCAGCUAGAAGACAUACGAGAAAAGGUCUGCUUCCGUCUGUCCGUGGACGCAAUUCUUUAGAUAGGCAGGAGACGUUGGAGAAAAAGAUACUACUUCUCUCAUCCUUGUGGUGGGCUGGCUGCUUGGGCACGUCCACCUUGAUGGAGCCGGAUGAAGUGCAUAGGAUGGCUCUAUUGCAGCUAGCUAAGAGGCAACUUUUUGAACCAGAUACUAAUCUGCUGUACAAUCCUGUGAUAAGGGAACAACAGACACCCCAAGGAAAUCCUGAAUAUUCUAGGCAAGGGUGGACAUCAGGCCGCUCUUUCAUAGCUCAGUGCUAUUAUCCUGUCGCUCCUCAUCCUAGAGUCGAUACAGCUGUCACCCUGGGGACUCACAUGAUAUCCAAAGGAUUAGAUGGUGAUAUGUAUGAAGAAUUUAUACCCCCUACUCAUGAACUGGAUCCUUCUCUAUUGUUGUACCCCAACUUUUUGCCACAACUCCUUGACAUAUGGAACAAACUCUCCGAAAGCGGCAAUUCUCCAAGACGAGCGCCUCUACACUGCAGCCUAUAUUGCUAUUUGGCUCUGUCGCUUUGUUGUUCCAAGUGGAGGGCCAUAUAUUCGUCCCGGGGUAUUAGUGAUGGCCUCUUGGAUCACAAUAGGGCGUUGCAUAUCCUUAGCUCCGCCGGCCCUUUGCUCCUUAUACUAUUCGCUUCGGCUGAUCAGUACUCAUCCCAUUGGCCCCUCCUUUUUGAAAAGGGCAUGGCAAGUCCACUAUCUGAUCGGAUGGAUGGGUAUAUAGUUAAGGAAGAGGAUCCACGCCCCAUUCCAGACGAUUCUCGCGUCGGUGACUCAUCUGUGGCGUGGGCAAAUUGGCUACAUGAAUUUCUAAAGCCAUUCGCUGAUGUAUUUGACCAACUUCGCAAUGUAAGAAGGGUGGCUGAUGAGCACCGGGACCAGCAUAUUGGUGUCAUUGAACAGGAGGAAGCACGUGUUAAAGAUCACUGGAUGCCAAUCCUCCAUAGCUACUUACAAGACGUUGCUGCUACUCAACCCAUAAAAUCCAAAAAGCAAAGUGGCGUACCAAAGUCUGUUGUUACAGCUGGUUCUUCCUCUGCUCAUCGAGUGCUAGUGGGUAGUGAUGAUCCUCCAGAAACAGCCCCGGCCACCAGCGGACAGAAGCGUAGAAAUUUAUCGCCCACUCAUGCUGACGAGGAAGCGAGGCUCCCCCUCAAGCGCAAACUUGACUUUUCCCAUGAAUGUGAUUUUUCUGAACCAAUAACAUUGGAUGGUCCGUCAUUAGAUGUUGAACUUAGUAACUUGGUUAAUGGUGAAGAUUUUGGUCACGUUCUCACGGGAGAAAAGGACCAUGGCCUUGGUGACCUCUUCGAUUUAUCCGUCGAGGAUUAUACCGUUGGCGAGUGUGGCGCAAGUCGUCCACCUUCCAGCCCGGGGGAAGGCGCACAGAUGGACUGCAGCUUUGUCAAAGACACGUUUAUAGAUGCCACGGAUACCGUGGUGAAACGAGCCCUCGAAGGACUGAAUGACUCUACCAUUGGUGAUCCCAAGCGACGCAUCAUGCUUGAGAGCGUUUCUCAGACGCUGCCCACGCAAGUACCUGAGGUAGCUAAGGUGCAUGCCAUGUUGGUCCGGCUUAUUGACCUUUCCAAGAAAUUGGAGGUUGGUCAGACUAAGUUCACGAAGGGAUCCGAGGAAGAUGAACAUGCUGCUACUGAAGUCGAGCUUAAAAUUAAGUCCGGCCAUGAAGUUUCCAAGGCUGCAAUUGGGGACUUAUCUGACCUAGACAAGAAGUGUGCUGAAAUGGAGGUGCAGGAAGCAGCGCUUAAGGUGCAGCUUGAGGAGGCUACCGCUAGUUUGCAGAAGCUUAAACUAGAGAGGGAACAGCGCCGACAAGCACAUAAUGCCCAUCAAUCUGAACUGAAGAACUUGGUGAAGAGUCUACAGGACACCAUCGCCGGCAAGCGUACAAGGCUUGCUGAAUUUCAACAAAAGACGGCAAAAUUAAAGACUAAAGCAAGUCAGUUGUUGAACAGCCUGCAGAACUGGCGAGCUCCUUGA
This 2205-nucleotide ribosomal RNA is filed under the name Triticum aestivum (bread wheat). RNAcentral's name for it is "partial small subunit ribosomal RNA". Lineage: Eukaryota; Viridiplantae; Streptophyta; Magnoliopsida; Poales; Poaceae. The record is from RNAcentral.